Molecule: long non-coding RNA, 2608 nt
Organism: Pipra filicauda (Wire-tailed manakin)
Lineage: Eukaryota; Metazoa; Chordata; Aves; Passeriformes; Pipridae
Exons: 2
Source: RefSeq, a predicted model, not a curated record
CCGCCAGCCCCGCAUCGGAGCGGCGGAGCGGGGCAGCCCUGGCGGGAGGGGGGCGCGGGGUGCCGCGGCUUUGUUUGUCCUGCUUGCCCCCAGCGCCGCCGCCGCCGGCCGCGCCCGGCGUGGGGAGUGGGCGAUGCGGCUGCCCCGGGCCGGGCCGAGCGUGCCGAGACCCGCGCUGCGCUGGCGCUGACCCACGACAAGCGGUUGUUCCCCGCGGUGCCCGCCGCCCCAUGAGCAUAUAGUGAAGCCCUUUUUGAUUCGCAUCCAGUUGUAUCAUGACUGCAGUAAAGACAAAUCGUAUUACCUCAUGAAUAACUUUGGAGUGUAUUAUCCCUUGGAGUUCAUGUAAUGAAUGAGCGUCCACAUCAUCCAAGUGGGCAAAUAGUCGAUGUAUUAGACUUGCUUAAAAAGUCAAGAUUGGAUUUCAUGUAACUGAAAUACGUCUGGGAAUUAUAUUUCUGAUAUACGUUUAAAUGCGAAGAGAGCAGUUCCUAGUGUUUGCCUCCCUAAAGCCCCCCUACCUCGUGGUCUCGUAUGCUGCUUCAAGCAAGAAAAAUCUAUUGUGUACAAGGGGGUUGACUGGGGUCCUCAGGGAGAUGGCUUAGUGUAAGUGGCACGCUGAAAGCUUUGUUCUCCUUGCAGAUCUUCAGCAUGACAUACUGCCUUCAGUCAGGUGCUCACUGUUGCGUGGUCUACUGUGCUUUGAGCUGAACAGCAUUUUCACAAAUGUCCUGCUAUCAUUACAGGAAUAUUUUGUAAGCCACACACUUGAGUGCAUCAAUACACAAGAAGACUCCAGUCAUGCAGAAAUACAGAGCUGGACAUAACUUAGUGUAUGCUGGUAGUUGAUGGCAUUCCUUGUUUGUCUGUGGAAGAUACAGAUUUACUGGAAGGAGGAAAAGAAGGCUUUGUCCACUGCAUUAUCACUGCUCCAUGAACACCUGCAACUAGGUUUUUAAUGGGAAUCCAGCUUUCUGUCUUGGAUGUACUUAGCUCUUUGUAUGCCUAACGAUUUAGACUCCAAAGCAGAACUUGCUGUAAAGUAAUUUUUGGUGUUUCAAUUAAGUUGAAAUGCAUGAGUAAGUAAGUGCAUGAGACUGAUAAUCCACAGGUUUUGAUGGAAACUCCACAAAAGAAUCUCAGAAGUCCUUCCUUAGCACCAUCCCUACAGGAAGAAAAGGGCAGGUAGCCUGUUGGAUACUACAAGACCAUCUGCAAGAUCCUUGGGAACCAUCUGCACUGAGGUUUUGUGCCUUUGCAGCAGCCAUAGUCUUGCAAAGGCUUGCUUCAUGUGGGAAUGGGAAGGUGUCUGGGAGGAUCUGUAGUUUGUAUAAUGAAUUUUAGAGUAACUUUUUUUCAUACACACAAGGAUACAAACCAGAAUAUAUCUGUACAGGAGAAUAGAAUAAAAUUGUGGGUCUCUGUUGGAGAUAUGCACACUUGGGAGAAUAGCAACCCUACUGUGCUAAUGGUAAUGUAGGAGCAAAGCACCCAGGGUGGUCUAAGGCUUAGGAAGGGUGUUGAAUUUUGUAGGGAAUGUGAGCUGACUCUUGUAACCAUAACUCCUUUUGUCAUCAAAUGCAUUAACAUUUCCUUUGUUUCGGUGUGUGACCUGCAGUCUUUGGUUUUUCAGUAUGUUUGAGUUGAACUUUUUCAGCUUUGGGGAAGUCAGGAAGCUGCAGGCAGUAAGUAGUUAAGAAAGUGGAUGACCUCAAGGAGUGCAGAGAGGGAAUGUGAGGAAAAGCUGACACUGUCAUCUUCGUUAGGCAAGUUCCAAUAGUCAAGAAUGGUUUCCAAGGGUGCUCCACUCCUGUACUGCUCUCAGAACCGGUCUGUCUCAGAACUAGAUCCAUCUUCUGUUAUUAUUUGCAAUAGUAUAUAUAUAUUCAGUAUGUGCUAUAAAUACAUAUGGUAUGCAGAGUACAGGGCUAAUGUUUCCAAAACUACAUAGGCAAUCGUGCGGGACUAACCAGGUUGGCUUCUUCUAUUGUACUGAGCAACACAUGUGCAUAGUGUGCAGUACUAUAAAGUGUCUGUAUGUAUUUGGAUUCAGUGACAUUUCACUGGAUGUGAAGGCUUGUUGCAGAUUUCUCAUUUGUGAUAAUAAGACUUGCCAUCUUCAUGUGUGGAUAUUCUGUGGAAGAGUCUGCGCAAAAACUAAAGUGUCAAGUGGUAUAUGGUAUUAGGUGUUAUGGAUAAUUGUUUGAUUACUGCUAAUUGUUUUUAGAGAAGUCUUCAGGUUCCAUCUUGUUUUUGGACCUGCAACUGGUGAAUAUUCUUGAAUAUGUGAUGUUCCCUUGAAAAAAUCUGGAAAGAAUUGCCAAGAAGCUAAGUGAACCAGUCAGGCAUUGCCUUUGCCUUAAAAUAUGACACCAAUAACAAAAAAUGGCAUCGUGUUACCUUUCCUUUUGGGAAUUUUCAUGGAUAUUGGGCUCCCGAGACUUUCCAACAUCAAUUCACCUGUUAAUGCAUUUGGACUUACCAAAAAUGGAUAAAUGGUUCCAUCCUUUGGGAAAAUUAAUUUGCUCUGUUGGUUGUAGAGUGUAAAGGCAACUUAAAAGAGAAAAUAAAGAACAAAAAGGACCUUCUGGAGCACACGUAAUACAAA